UGCGUCGGGAGGCGGGGCCGAGGGGUCUGACGUCACAAGACCACGCCCCCGACGGUCGAGAUAUUUUGCGCGCCGCCCGCCAUCUUGUCCCAGUGUUUCGCUUGCUGUCUGCUGUGCUAAAGGGUCGUUUUAGUUCGUAGGCGGAAGGCAGCAUAUCGGGUCUUUGUCUGUGUUUGACUCCCUAGUUUGGUCCGAGACCUUCCGGCAUUUUCCCGGGGCAGCCAGCAGAAGCCGAAGCGGUCGUCCCCACCCCUCCCCUCUGUCCCCUGGCCCCGGAGGGACCGAGCUCGAGUCACGCCUCUCGGCGCUUCCCUUUUCCCUUCUCUGUUGUUGCGUCCGCAUCGAGUCCCCGGAAUCAGACGGUGCCCCAUAGAUGGCCAGCUUUCCCCCGAGGGUCAACGAGAAAGAGAUCGUGAGAGCACGUACUAUAGGUGAACUUUUAGCUCCAGCAGCUCCUUUUGACAAGAAAUGUGGUCGUGAAAACUGGACUGUUGCUUUUGCUCCAGAUGGUUCAUACUUUGCCUGGUCACAAGGAUAUCGCACAGUGAAGCUUGUUCCAUGGUCCCAGUGCCUUAAGAACUUUCUCUUGCAUGGCACCAAGAAUGUUACUAAUUCAAGCAGUUUAAGAUUGUCAAGACAAAACAGUGAUGGUGCUCAGAAAAAUAAGCUUCGUGAGCAUAUUAUAGACUGUGGAGAUAUAGUUUGGAGUCUUGCUUUCGGGUCUUCAGUUCCAGAAAAACAGAGCCGCUGUGUAAAUAUAGAAUGGCAUCGAUUCAGAUUUGGACAGGAUCAGCUACUCCUUGCCACAGGAUUAAACAAUGGUCGCAUCAAAAUAUGGGAUGUUUAUACAGGAAAACUCCUCCUUAAUUUGGUGGACCAUACUGAAGUGGUGAGAGAUUUAACUUUUGCUCCAGAUGGAAGCUUGAUCCUAGUGUCAGCUUCAAGAGACAAAACCCUCAGAGUGUGGGACCUGAAAGAUGAUGGAAACAUGAUGAAAGUACUGAGGGGGCAUCAGAACUGGGUGCACAGCUGCGCGUUCUCUCCUGACUCUUCUAUGCUGUGUUCAGUUGGAGCCAAUAAAGCAGUGGUGGCAGCAAUAUUGGUGUGAUUGAGGUUAUGCUGGCACCACUCGCACACAGGCGCACAAUGGUGUUAGCUGGGCAGAAAGAGUGGCAUCUCUGGCUACCGGGCUGGGGGCGACCUUUACCAUAGGAUGAAGUAACCUUGCAUUCGGCUGCAAGGUGUACUGUACGUACACAGGUGCUGGUCGAUGUCCACUUUCUGCUUUUCUUUCUUUCUUUUUUUUCUUUUUAAAAAUAAUUUUCCCCAGAGUAAAAUCCAAUGACUCCUCCGAGUAAGUUGAUUUUCCAUUUUGAUGAAAUUGGGAGUCUGACAAGUGAAACCAAUUUAAUGUAAAGUAAUUGGCUUCCAAAUGGUUUCUCUGUACUGUUUUUUGGAAUCCUUUAAGAUGCUAGAGAUGCUUUAAAUCUUUGAUCCAAUUUAAAAUUUGUACUUAUUUUCCUUUGGAAGUAAUAUAUUGUGUCUGUGCAGAAAAAAGUAGCAAAAAGGAUUGCUUUACUCCAAGAGGAGAGAUCGUUUUAUUAGGAUUGUUGGAAAUCUCCAAGUUUAUUAAUAUUGUAACAGACUAAAGUAAACAUUCAAAUCCUAUUUAGAACUAUUCUGCACAAUCUAACUACUGAUGUCUAGAAUCUCAAACUGUAUGUGAACUUACUCUUAAAUAAUUUAACUGUUUGAUACUGAAAGUGACUAAUGAUUAUAGUCAGUUUGGGAAAAGUAAGAUUGGUAAAUGUUGAUUCACAGAAAUGUAAUUGUAUUAUUUUUGUAAAAUAGCAUUGUCAUAUUGUAAUGUGGUUUAACAUCCUUGUUGUUUGCCAAAGAAAUUUCAUUUGGCUAUGAAAAUUCUCUUUGCUUGCAGUAUCUGUUUCUCUUCCUAGGCUCACGUUGGUGACCCAAGCCUUUUGUAAACAAGUGAUUAUCUCAAAGGGAGAUGCCAAUGGAGUAACAAUUUGUUAACCUUACGUUUUCUGUCUGUAUAUAUUUUUCUUAAAUUUGGUAGUUUCUGGAAAAAAGAAGGGGUGUGUAGAACUUAACUCUAUUUCUGUAUAUUUUUGUUAAUUAGUUUUUGGAAUAAAUGGAUUUCAGUAUAACUUUGUGGUUAAAUUGCAAUUCCUUUAUUUUAUGUUUAGGCUUUUUUAAAAUUAACAUUUAACAGAAACAUUUGAAAUAGAAUUUGCAUGUCUGUUUUAAUUAACUUUAAGACUGAUUUUAAUCUGACUAUGACACUGAGCAUAUUCUUUUAAUUACUCAUAAUUUACAAUGUUUAAUUUAAUGUAAUCUUAAUUAAAUUUAGCAGUUUUAGUUUAAGAUGUGCCAUUUUCUUCUCUGUAUUUCCGAAUGAAGCUAUAACAUCUGCCUAUUUAUUGCAGGUCUUCCUUUGGAAUAUGGAUAAAUACACCAUGAUACGGAAACUAGAAGGACACCAUCAUGAUGUUGUAGCUUGUGACUUUUCUCCUGAUGGAGCAUUACUGGCUACUGCAUCCUAUGAUACUCGAGUGUAUAUCUGGGAUCCACAUAAUGGAGACAUUCUAAUGGAAUUUGGGCACCUGUUUCCCCCACCUACUCCGAUAUUUGCUGGAGGAGCAAAUGAUCGAUGGGUACGAUCUGUAUCUUUUAGUCAUGAUGGACUCCAUAUUGCAAGCCUUGCUGAUGAUAAAAUGGUGAGGUUCUGGCGGAUUGAUGAGGAUUAUCCAGUACAAGUUGCACCUUUGAGCAAUGGUCUUUGUUGUGCCUUUUCUACUGAUGGCAGUGUUUUAGCUGCUGGGACACAGGAUGGAAGUGUAUAUUUUUGGGCCAGUCCAAGGCAAGUUCCUAGCCUUCAACAUUUAUGCCGCAUGUCAAUCCGGAGAGUAAUGUCCACCCAAGAAGUCGAGGACCUGCCAGUUCCUUCCAAAGUGUUGGAAUUUCUCUCUUACCGUUUUUAGAAGAUGCUGCCUUCCCCAAUGUGGGGACUGACAGGAUACACUUCACAGAAACCCCACGCUUUACUGACUUCACGUAUCUGUUUUUAAAGGGUUAGAAAAUUUAUUUAAUUUGAUACAUUCUUGUACUUCAUUUUCAUUAGUCAAGCUUUUAGAAUAUUAUUUAUGUACCAUACAAGAAAUAUUUCUAAACAUAUCAACUGUAAUUUUUUAAAGAUUAACUGUGAAAACAUAUAUAACAUGUAUAUAUUUAGGCAUUAGCUGCUAUGUGUUGAAUGGACCCUUCUUUUUUUAAUUUUUAGUUUUGACUAUAUGUAAUGCUUCAGUACAGCCACAAUAUAUAUCUGUGUUGUAAAAGUGGAAGGAAUUUUUUUUAAAAAUUAGAUGAUAAAUAAUUGAUUUACAAAAGCUGAAUUGCCUCAAUACAAAAUGAAUUUGGUCAGGGGGGAGGGUGACUAACCUGUAAGUGAGACUAUUUUUAUAUAGGGAAAGGAUUUUAUUUUCCUUAGGCAUGGUGUCUGACAGGUGGAGUUCAAAUGUGACAUUAUUUAAAACAUAAAUAAAUUAAGGAAAAGGGUGUCUUCUCCUCACCCCUCCAUAUUGCUGUGGGCCUUAAUUUUGGAAAGCAGCUUAUAUCUUACCCUGUUAAUAUAAAGUAUUACACAUUUUUGCCAGUUUGAAAGAUACAUCUACUGUACUAUUGCUAAAUAUUUUGUUUAUAUUAAGGGGCAACUAUUUUAAGACCAUGUUUUUUCUUGUUUUGUUUUAACACAUAUUUUGUGUUUAUAAAAUAUGAUAUUGGUGGGCUGGCGAAGUGGCUCAAGUGUUAAGAGCGCCUGCUAUUAUUUUAAAAAAGGGGGGGGGGCCUGCAUAGCAAGUGUGAGGCCCUGAGUUCAAACCCCAGUGCCACCAUAAAAAAGAUAUUAGUGACUUGCCAAAGAGAAGCAAUGUAGCUUAUCUACUUUUGCCUUCUGUUAUUUAUCUUAUCUGCAGUUAUCAAGGAUGUAUAUAUUUUUGUUGAGUUUUUUAAUUAAAGACUUGUAAAAAGAGUGUAUUGGAUUUAUUUUAUUUAUUUAUUUAAUUUCUUUUGUGAGACUGGUGUCUGAACUCCCACUUGCAAAACAUGUACUCCACUGCUUGCCUCCAGUUUGUUUUUCUGUGGCUAUUUAAGAGAUGGCGGUCUCAUGACCAGGUGGCCUUGAACCACAAUCCUGUCAGUCUCUCAGUCUCCCAAAUUGCUGGGAAUAUAGGUAUGGGCCACCAGUGCCCGGCUUGGGAAUGCUUUGUAAGUAAGUGUGGUGGAGGAUGUGGGGCUCUUUGUCUCUCUUCAUUGUAAGAUUGAUGGAGGGCCACAAGCAACAAUGACAAAGAAGCAGUGCAAGAGUAGAACAUUGCUUUUGUUCUGAGGCAGCUGUUGUAGUAAAGCUUAUUAAUUAAAAGCCCCUAAAACUGUAGAACAGAAGAGAAUAACUACUAAGCAAAAUAAAAAUAUGGUCUUUUAGGGGAACUAGCAGGUUUAUGGUACACCUUUG
Non-coding RNA from Castor canadensis (American beaver), 4531 nucleotides. NCBI's taxonomy places the organism in Eukaryota, Metazoa, Chordata, Mammalia, Rodentia, Castoridae. The record is from RefSeq and is a predicted model, not a curated record.